RNAcentral lists this ribosomal RNA (224 nucleotides) under uncultured fungus. RNAcentral's name for it is "partial small subunit ribosomal RNA". It matches the Rfam family "Eukaryotic small subunit ribosomal RNA", at positions 634 to 864 of the family's 1831-position model. The record is from RNAcentral. Lineage: Eukaryota; Fungi.
GGCUUGAAACAUUAAGCCGGCCACGGUUUCGUGUGUUAGUGCUUGGUGUUCUGGCCAUCCUUCCAAUCGCUGCUGGCCUUUCUUCAUUGAUAGGUUGGUAGUAUUGGAUCUUUUACUUUGAAAAAAUUAGAGUGUUUCAAGCAGGCUUUAUGCUAUGAAUACAUUAGCAUGGAAUAAUAAUUUAGGACUUCGGUUCUAUUUUGUUGGUUUCUAGGACUGAAGUA